GGGGGUAUAGCUCAAAGGUAGAGCACUUGCUUAUCUGUGCAAGGCCCUGGGCUCAAUUCCUAGUGCCACAA
This 71-nucleotide transfer RNA is filed under the name Cavia porcellus (domestic guinea pig). It matches the Rfam family "tRNA". From Rfam's summary of the family: Transfer RNA (tRNA) molecules are approximately 80 nucleotides in length. Their secondary structure includes four short double-helical elements and three loops (D, anti-codon, and T loops). Lineage: Eukaryota; Metazoa; Chordata; Mammalia; Rodentia; Caviidae. The record is from Rfam by way of RNAcentral.